UAGGGAAUUUUCGUCAAUGGGGGGAACCCUGAACGAGCAAUGCCGCGUGAGUGAGGAAGGUCUUCGGAUCGUAAAGCUCUGUUGUAAGAGAAAAACGGCACUCAUAGGGAAUGAUGAGUGAGUGAUGGUAUCUUACCAGAAAGUCACGGCUAACUACGUGCCAGCAGCCGCGGUAAUACGUAGGUGGCGAGCGUUAUCCGGAAUGAUUGGGCGUAAAGGGUGCGUAGGUGGCAGAUCAAGUCUGGAGUAAAAGGUAUGGGCUCAACCCGUACUUGCUCUGGAAACUGAUCAGCUAGAGAACAGAAGAGGACGGCGGAACUCCAUGUGUAGCGGUAAAAUGCGUAGAUAUAUGGAAGAACACCGGUGGCGAAGGCGGCCGUCUGGUCUGGAUUCUGACACUGAAGCACGAAAGCGUGGGGAGCAAAUAGGAUUAGAUACCCUAGUAGUCCACGCCGUAAACGAUGAGAACUAGGUGUUGGGGGAAUAACUCAGUGCCGCAGUUAACGCAAUAAGUUCUCCGCCUGGGGAGUAUGCACGCAAGUGUGAAACUCAAAGGAAUUGACGGGGGCCCGCACAAGCGGUGGAGUAUGUGGUUUAAUUCGAAGCAACGCGAAGAACCUUACCAGGCCUUGACAUCCCUUGCAGAGGUAUAGAGAUAUAUCCGAGGUUAUCAAGGAGACAGGUGGUGCAUGGUUGUCGUCAGCUCGUGUCGUGAGAUGUUGGGUUAAGUCCCGCAACGAGCGCAACCCUUGUGAUAUGUUACUAACAUUGAGUUGAGGACUCAUAUCAGACUGCCGGUGAUAAACCGGAGGAAGGUGGGGAUGACGUCAAAUCAUCAUGCCCCUUAUGGCCUGGGCUACACACGUACUACAAUGGCGUCUACAAAGAGCGGCAAGCCUGUGAAGGCAAGCGAAUCUCAUAAAGGACGUCUCAGUUCGGAUUGAAGUCUGCAACCCGACUUCAUGAAGCUGGAAUCGCUAGUAAUCGCGAAUCAGCAUGUCGCGGUGAAUACGUUCUC
RNAcentral lists this ribosomal RNA (1018 nucleotides) under uncultured bacterium. RNAcentral describes it as "bacterial SSU rRNA". It matches the Rfam family "Bacterial small subunit ribosomal RNA", at positions 355 to 1375 of the family's 1533-position model. The record is from RNAcentral.